Long non-coding RNA from Camelus dromedarius (Arabian camel), 985 nucleotides. RefSeq lists it as uncharacterized. NCBI's taxonomy places the organism in Eukaryota, Metazoa, Chordata, Mammalia, Artiodactyla, Camelidae. The transcript has 2 exons. The record is from RefSeq and is a predicted model, not a curated record.
CAAGGGUACGCGCCGGGUGAGACUCCGCCUCCCUCGCUGGUUGGCCGGGGGCGGAGGCACCUGACCCGGGGCGGCCAAUCCUCGCAUUGGCAGGGCCGGGCCGGCGUGUUCGGGAGCUCAACCUGGCUGAUCUGCCCCGCCUGGCGGCGCAGCGAGGCGCGGACAGACUGACCGGCAGGGGGCGGCAAAGGGCGGCUCGGGCCGCCUGGACGCGCUACUAAGGGGCCCGCGGCGGGGCGACGAUUAGCAAUUCCCGGACGUCCACUCGGCCGAAAGACCGACUUUCAUGAACGUUCCAGGACAGAGCUACUGCGGCCCAGAAGUUUCUGGGAAGAGCACUGGCUUCCAACAAGACCCACUUCUACCAAACCACAGUUUCCAUCCAUGGCCGUAAACGCUGUGAGGCUGGAGAGGGAGAGCUGCAGCCGGCGGCUGCCCUGAGCUUGGCUGGGAGGACACGGCGGUGGAGACGGCCCUCCUGCCACCAUGGAAGGGGCUCGAAAAUGGACAACGAGCAUUAGUAUUUUGAUAUGUUAUUUUUUUUUAAUUCUUAUUUUUUAUCGAAGUGUAGUCGAUUUACAAUGUUAGUUUCAGGUGUACAGCAAAGCUUCAGUUAUACAUAUACCUACGUACAUUUAUAUUUUUUUUUCAGUUUUUUUCCAUUAUGUUGGUAUAUGAUUAUAUCAGCUUUAUUGGUGUAUUUACAUUAAAAUGUAAGACUUUAUGUAAGCAACCAGAUGGAUUCUUCCAUAUGGCUCCAUGCAGAUCAAGGUAUAGCACAUUUCAGCCUCUCCAAAGCCCCCACCAAGGGCAACUACUAUUUUGACUUUUACCACCAUAGAUUAAUUUUUUUUUUGGUGCUUUAUAAAAAUUGAAUCAGGUAGUAUGUGCCCUCUUGGGUCUGGCUUCUUUCACUCAACAUUAUUGUAUGUUAUUUGUCUAUAUGUUAUUGUAAUAAUAACAAUAAAAAUAAUAGUUGCUUCCC